UGAGUCUGCGAUUUCCGAAUGGGGAAACCCAACUGCAUAAGCAGUUACUGUUAACUGAAUACAUAGGUUAACAGAGCAAACCGGGGGAACUGAAACAUCUAAGUUAGCCCCGUAACCGACGCUUCAUCGAGCGUGAAAUCGAGUAGGGCGGGACACGUGAUAUCCUGUCUGAAUAUGGGGGGACCAUCCUCCAAGGCUAAAUACUCCUGACUGACCGAUAGUGAACCAGUACCGUGAGGGAAAGGCGAAAAGAACCCCUGUGAGGGGAGUGAAAUAGAACCUGAAACCGUGUACGUACAAGCAGUAGGAGCACCUUCGUGGUGUGACUGCGUACCUUUUGUAUAAUGGGUCAGCGACUUAUAUUCAGUGGCAAGGUUAACCGUAUAGGGGAGCCGUAGCGAAAGCGAGUCUUAACUGGGCGCUCAGUCUCUGGAUAUAGACCCGAAACCGGGUGAUCUAGCCAUGGGCAGGUUGAAGGUUGAGUAACAUCAACUGGAGGACCGAACCGACUAAUGUUGAAAAAUUAGCGGAUGACUUGUGGCUAGGGGUGAAAGGCCAAUCAAACUCGGAGAUAGCUGGUUCUCCCCGAAAGCUAUUUAGGUAGCGCCUCGGACGAAUA
Molecule: ribosomal RNA, 619 nt
Filed under: Vibrio cholerae
Lineage: Bacteria; Pseudomonadati; Pseudomonadota; Gammaproteobacteria; Vibrionales; Vibrionaceae
Description: partial 23S ribosomal RNA
Rfam family: Bacterial large subunit ribosomal RNA
Source: RNAcentral